RNAcentral lists this ribosomal RNA (523 nucleotides) under uncultured bacterium. RNAcentral describes it as "bacterial SSU rRNA". It matches the Rfam family "Bacterial small subunit ribosomal RNA", at positions 9 to 526 of the family's 1533-position model. The record is from RNAcentral.
GAGUUUGAUCCUGGCUCAGGACGAACGCUGGCGGCGUGCCUAACACAUGCAAGUCGAACGGAACUUCUUUAAAGGAUUUCUUCGGAAUGAAUUUGAUUAAGUUUAGUGGCGGACGGGUGAGUAACGCGUGAGCAACCUGACCUUUUGAGGGGGAUAACACCUGGAAACAAGUGCUAAUACCGCAUAAGACCACGGAGCGGCAUCGUUCAGGGGUCAAAGGAGGAAUCCGCAGAAGGAGGGGCUCGCGUCCCAUUAGAUAGUAGGCGGGGUAACGGCCCACCUAGUCGACGAUGGGUAGCCGAGCUGAGAGGCUGAUCGGCCACACUGGAACUGAGACACGGUCCAGACUCCUACGGGAGGCAGCAGUGGGGAAUAUUGGGCAAUGGGCGCAAGCCUGACCCAGCAACGCCGCGUGAGGGAAGAAGGCUUUCGGGUUGUAAACCUCUGUCCUUGGUGACGAAGGAAGUGACGGUAGCCAAGGAGGAAGCCCCGGCUAACUACGUGCCAGCAGCCGCGGUAAUUC